UGUGAAUUUAACAGAAAUGAAAUAGGUGGGGACUGGUUCAUUAGUUGUUAUAUCUCAUUUCUCACAUUUAUACAUAGAUCUGCU
RNAcentral lists this non-coding RNA (84 nucleotides) under Moneuplotes crassus. The record is from RNAcentral. Lineage: Eukaryota; Ciliophora; Spirotrichea; Euplotida; Euplotidae.